UCCAAAAUGGCAGACAUCGCGAUAUCAUCUUCGCUCGAAAUUAACCAGGAUCUAUCAAUCUAUACCGUCAAUCAGUUAAAGAAAUAUUUAUCCAGCCGGCGACAAAAUGUCUCCGGAAGGAAGCAGGACCUUAUAAGAAGAAUACAAGGGUCUUUUAGGCUGAACAUUCCGACUACUUCAACCCUUGCGCAGUUCGACCAACUUGACAGUGAGAGAUGCGAGAUUGACAGGUUCACGGUCUCUUCUGGCAAGAAAGUUCCUCCUCCACUCGCCUUGUUUGGUUGGACAACAGAUUACAACAAUCUUCCAGAUGUAAUGGAAAAAGACAUAUACAAUUAUGUUGUAUUGAAGAAGAAUUCCAAGCGACAACUAAAAUCCAAGGGAUUUUAUAACGAUGGUCAUGUUCAUAAAGUAGAGGUCCAUCCUAUUGAUGACAGCAGCAGCCACAUGUACAUAAGCGCUUUGGUGUUACCAUCAUUUCCAUCAGCAGACCAUUAGAAAUCGCCUGACUACAGACCAUGGAUACUGCUGUCAAAAGUUACUGGAUGCAUUCAUUCAGCUUAUUGUACCUGCCCAGCUGGGUGAUGUUGCCGCUGGAUAUUCUUGUUUGUUGAUGGUUCCAAGUACUUGUACUAAUCUACAUACAUGGAAGGAGAAUGCUGCAAUCAUAUUGGAGCACUACUGUUUGGGAUUGCAGACCUUACCGAAAGAAGAAUGAAUGGCUGCUUAGCUUCGACUUCAAGAAAGUGCCUUUGCAGUGACUACAGUAUGUCAGCACCCAGAAAAAGGAGAUUGAGCCCCAAAAGGUCAGAAGAAUUGGUGUAUACGAAAAACACCCUCCUCCAUUCAACCAGGAAACUGCAUGUUGAAAAGAACAGUGACCACAACAAGAACAAAGGGUGCACAGUUGACAUUGAGACUUGAAGAGAAGAAACUGAAUGUAGGAUGGCUGAAGAAUUUCCCAUCAGAUUCCUCUACGCAUGAGCCUGAAUUUCCUGUAUUGCACGACAUUAGGUUUCUUUUCAUGGAUAAUGUGGAUCUGAGUAGCAGCAUGUGCAAGGACGUGUUUGAUGCUCAUUUCAAAUCUCUGUCACAAACUGAGGAGGAUGUACACAUAACAGAGGUGUUAACAAGAGGACAGGAUUCACACAACUGGAAGCAAGCCAGGAAAGAACGGAUCACCUCCUCACAUUUUGGCACUGUUUGUAAG
This 1210-nucleotide unclassified non-coding RNA is filed under the name Haliotis rubra (blacklip abalone). RNAcentral describes it as "uncharacterized LOC124290467, transcript variant X1". The record is from RNAcentral. Lineage: Eukaryota; Metazoa; Mollusca; Gastropoda; Lepetellida; Haliotidae.